GGCAGUAUCACGCAUAAGCGUAUUACAAAUUCGCCCAGUACCCCUCCUCGGUGAGCCAGGCCGGUAUUCGCCUUGCUCUCAUUCAUUCAUCUACAUUCAUACCAAAACUAAAUACGGCGCUCUCGACAGGGGCCCACGAGCCCCCGGAGACGCAAUUACUCCCUAUCUAUAUACAUACAUAUUGGCCCGAUCUCCACCCCAUGGUGCUCUGAUCAGGCCCAUUCAUGCCCGUAUACACACACUGUAUGUAUACACACACUCAUACCUAGAGGGAAGCGACGUGUGAGUCAGGCACUGCCUGAGCCGCUCAGAGCCUUGCCCGAGGUGGCCGCACUGGAGCUCCUAUCGGCCUAUGCGGCCUAUCGUUCACACUCCUGUCCACAUACACAUCUGCACGCUCACUUACACAUCCUUCUUCUCGCGUCCGUUCCCUGCACUUCUCAACGUCCACCUUUGCACGCAUGACCCGCCCUGCGAAGGUCUGGAAGGCCGUCCAUUCCGUCAGGACAGUCAGGGAGACCCUGGCUAUCAUGGGAAGUGUUAGCUGCCUUCCCCUCAUCGCACCGAUCAGCUCAUUCCUGGCAUCUGUCCACGCCGGGCAGUCGACCAGGGUGUGCUCCGCCAUAUCCUCACUCCCCCCGCAGUGGAAACAACGUGGAGAGGGAAUCUUUCUUAUCUUAUUUAAAUACGCCGAGAAACAGCCAUGGCCGGUUAUCAGCUGUGUGGUGUGAAAUGUCGUUCCGAUAGAGAACGGUCUCCCAAUCUACUCAGCUAACCAUUCGGCAAUAGCUGCCCUCGCACGCACUCCCGUUGCUGCUGGUGCUCCUACGAGCCCAAGUUCCUCAGCCUUCCACGCUUCUAUUGCCCUCCUUCUGGCAAGAAAACCCAAUACAGCCUUAGUACACGGGGAACAAGUUCCUCCGCAUCCCUAACAGCCGCAUACGUAUUCGCCAGCUGGGAUGCCAGAUGAACGAGAGGAAUAAUCCCCGCGAUCAUCAUAGCCACGUGGAAGGAGACCGUUCUAUAAGCACAACACAUCCGGAUCGCCACCUUCCUCUGGAGGCUCCGAACAGCCCUCCCAAUCCUCAUGUCCUCCAUGACAGCGCGCCACCACACCGGCGCCCCAUAAAGGAGCACUGAGUGGAUCACGCCGCUGUAGAGGCGUCGCUUCUUCUACCCCGGUCCGUGAAGAUUCCAUAUCUUUGUCAC
This is a long non-coding RNA of Vespa mandarinia (Asian giant hornet), 1209 nucleotides long. The record is from RefSeq and is a predicted model, not a curated record. Lineage: Eukaryota; Metazoa; Arthropoda; Insecta; Hymenoptera; Vespidae.